CCUACGGGGGGCAGCAGUGGGGGAUAUUGCACAAUGGGGGGAACCCUGAUGCAGCGACGCCGCGUGAGUGAAGAAGUAUUUCGGUAUGUAAAGCUCUAUCAGCAGGGAAGAAGAAAGACGGUACCUGAGUAAGAAGCCCCGGCUAACUACGUGCCAGCAGCCGCGGUAAUACGUAGGUGGCAAGCGUUGUCCGGAAUUACUGGGUGUAAAGGGAGCGUAGGCGGGAAGCCAAGUCAGCUGUGAAAACUACGGGCUUAACCUGUAGACUGCAGUUGAAACUGGCUUUCUUGAGUGAAGUAGAGGUU
This 305-nucleotide ribosomal RNA is filed under the name uncultured bacterium. RNAcentral describes it as "bacterial SSU rRNA". It matches the Rfam family "Bacterial small subunit ribosomal RNA", at positions 338 to 659 of the family's 1533-position model. The record is from RNAcentral.